RNAcentral lists this ribosomal RNA (492 nucleotides) under uncultured bacterium. Its description in RNAcentral is "partial 16S ribosomal RNA". It matches the Rfam family "Bacterial small subunit ribosomal RNA", at positions 29 to 507 of the family's 1533-position model. The record is from RNAcentral.
AGUGAACGCUGGCGGUAGGCCCAACACAUGCAAGUCGAACGGCAGCACAGUAAGAGCUUGCUCUUACGGGUGGCGAGUGGCGGACGGGUGAGGAAUACAUCGGCAUCUUCUUUUUCUUGGGGGAUUACGUAAAGCCACUUACGCUACUACCUCAUAUGUCCUACCGGUUAAUUCAGUGGUUCUUCGUACCUUUCCUGACUGAUUUAGCCGAUGUCGGAUUAGCUAGUUGGCGGGGUAAAGGCCCACCAAGGCAACGAUACGUAGCUGGUCUGAGAGGAUGAUCAGCCACACUGGAACUGAGACACGGUCCAGACUCCUACGGGAGGCAGCAGUGGGGAAUAUUGGACAAUGGGCGCAAGCCUGAUCGAGCCAUGCCGCGUGAGUGAAGAAGGUCUUCGGGUUGUAAAGCCCUUUUGUUAGGAAAGAAAAGAAGCAGGUUAAAACCCCGCUGUUCUGACGGUACCUAAAGAAUAAGCAACGGCUAACUUCGUG